This 268-nucleotide long non-coding RNA is filed under the name Lathyrus oleraceus (garden pea). Its description in RNAcentral is "Pisum sativum (pea) long non-coding RNA (PSAT_LNC002035)". Lineage: Eukaryota; Viridiplantae; Streptophyta; Magnoliopsida; Fabales; Fabaceae. The record is from RNAcentral.
AAGAGAUCAUCUUAAGGGUAUUACUGUCCGACGAGCCUUCGUCACGACAAUGACAUUCUCAAGAAGGAUCCAUGACUCUAGGAACCUACCAACUGUAGAGAUACCAAUGAUUUACCUCUUAUCAUGACCAACCUGUGAACUUACUUAUUCUUGUGCUCCUGAAUAUUGCAUUGCAUUUCCUUGCAUAUCUAAACAUGACAAAAAUUUCAUGCAUUCGUAUUCCAUCAGCAUGCAUGCAUAUCAUUUCCCAUUACAAAAAAACUCAUCC